AAAAAUAAAAAAAAUCCCUGCCCGCAAUAAAAAGAAGCAGCUUUGCUUCCCCGCCCUCCCCCUGCCCCCUGCUUUUUUUUUUUUUUUUCCUGCCCCUAAACGAGCCGAAAAGGGAGCGAAGGCUGCGGGGUGGCCGUGCCCACCAUCGAUUUUUCGUGGAAGGAGCCCAGAAAGGGCGGUGAUGGAGCACGGGGCCGCGAGCCCCCGGCCCCAGCAGCCGGCAGCGGGGAGCUGAACCGGAGCCGGGGGGAGCAUCGCUGCUGGUUGGGGCUCUGCUCGGCCAGAAAAAUCCAAGGGAGGAGGAAAAUCGAGGUGGAGGAGAGGAAGAAGAAGGGCCGAAGGGCUCGGGCGAAGCAGCCAUUAGGAAAGUGCUGAUGCAGAGGUUCACUUGUGUCUACGGGCAGAGUUGGAGGAGUUGCUGUUCGCGGACAAAGGCGGUAGGAGGGAGUGGAGCUUUGUAGAAGCCGGAGCCUGUCUCGCUGGGUGUCUGCGUUUCAUUCCCUGUCAAGCGGCUGGGGAAAAGCAGGGAAGCGCCGAGCUGCAGCGCUCGCUCAGGAUCAGAUAGCGAGGAAACCAAUAGCAGAGGGAACCAAAAAAAAAAAAGAGAGAAAGAAAAAAAAAAAAAAAGAAACAACAAACCACCGAGCAAGCAAGCAACCCACCCUCCACGCUGAGACUGAAGCAGGCAGGUCCCUGCCAACUACACAGCACGCAUCCAGCAGCGAAGAAGUCUUCCCUCCCCGGGCAGGAGCGGAGUUGAGCCCGAAGGAUAUUUGAUGACACUUUUGCAGCGAUGGGGCCCCCAGCAUCUUCCAGAGCCCAUUUGAGGGUGAAGCCUCUGAAAGCGCAGAGGGAGUUUGAAGCUAAAUUCACCUGAGUCUGGAUCUCUUGGCCGCUGGGAUUUAUCUCUAUCUAUCUAUUUUUAUUUUUCUCCAGGGAAACCAACCAAACAAAAAAAAACCGUGUUUUGUUGUUUGUUUGUUUUUAAGCUCUUUUUUUUUUUUUUUCUUUUGGAAGAAGAUCUUUAUUUUUUUAUUUUUAUUUUUUUUCGUGUGGUUGCAAUGGAGGGCUUGGGUCUGUGCCUACGAAGCGGCAGCCGAAUGCUGGUCCUGGGAGAAACCGGCGCGGACGCGGGGUCCCUCGCCAGCUAACUCCGCAGGACCCGGGGCCGGGGGGCUCGAUGCAGUGAGAGAGCCUCUCACGGGAUCCGCGUGGUGACGUGGCCGCCAAGACGUGGAAGCUUGGGACUUCUCUUCCACCGCAACAGAAUUUGGGGGGUGGGCAGGGGUGGGCUAGGGGGACGCCAGGAGUCGCUGAGACCCUUCACCUUC
This 1331-nucleotide long non-coding RNA is filed under the name Anas platyrhynchos (mallard). Its description in RNAcentral is "lncRNA (ENSAPLG00020013535.1)". The record is from RNAcentral. Lineage: Eukaryota; Metazoa; Chordata; Aves; Anseriformes; Anatidae.